AAUAGUUUUGAUUUCUGACGGAUUACAAUGUGGAGCACCACAGUGAAGUCAAAAUGUAAGUGAGAGCCGACCGUCUGGGCAACGUUU
This 87-nucleotide non-coding RNA is filed under the name Blautia pseudococcoides. Its description in RNAcentral is "Blautia sp. YL58 ZMP/ZTP riboswitch aptamer (pfl RNA motif)". It matches the Rfam family "ZMP/ZTP riboswitch aptamer (pfl RNA motif)". From Rfam's summary of the family: Previously known as pfl RNA. ZMP is also known as AICAR. RNAcentral also lists the same sequence under 1 other name. Lineage: Bacteria; Bacillati; Bacillota; Clostridia; Lachnospirales; Lachnospiraceae. The record is from Rfam by way of RNAcentral.